This 431-nucleotide ribosomal RNA is filed under the name uncultured bacterium. RNAcentral describes it as "partial 16S ribosomal RNA". It matches the Rfam family "Bacterial small subunit ribosomal RNA", at positions 29 to 507 of the family's 1533-position model. The record is from RNAcentral.
AACGAACGCUGGCGGCAUGCCUAACACAUGCAAGUCGAACGAGACCUUCGGGUCUAGUGGCGCACGGGUGCGUAACGCACGGGAACCUGCCCUUAGGUUCGGAAUAACUCCCCGAAAGGGGUGCUAAUACCGGAUAAUGUCUUCGGACCAAAGAUUUAUCGCCUUUGGAUGGGCCCGCGUUGGAUUAGCUAGUUGGUAGGUAAAAGCCUACCAAGGCGACGAUCCAUAGCUGGUCUGAGAGGAUGAUCAGCCACACUGGGACUGAGACACGGCCCAGACUCCUACGGGAGGCAGCAGUGGGGAAUAUUGGACAAUGGGCGAAAGCCUGAUCCAGCAAUGCCGCGUGAGUGAUGAAGGCCUUAGGGUUGUAAAGCUCUUUUACCCGGGAUGAAAUGACAGUACCGGGAGAAUAAGCUCCGGCUAACUCCGUG